AGAGUUUGAUCCUGGCUCAGAAUCAACGCUGGCGGCGCGCUUAACACAUGCAAGUCGAACGAGAAAGUGGAGCAAUCCAUGAGUAAAGUGGCGUACGGGUGAGUAACACGUGGGUAAUCUACCUUUUAGUGAGGAAUAACGAUGGGAAACCGUCGCUAAUACCGCAUGAGCCCGAGAGGGGAAAGUCGAAAGACGCUGAAAGAGGAGCCCGCGGCCGAUUAGCUAGUUGGUGAGGUAAGAGCCCACCAAGGCUUAGAUCGGUAGCCGGCCUGAGAGGGCACACGGCCACACUGGCACUGAAACACGGGCCAGACUCCUACGGGAGGCAGCAGUGGGGAAUCUUGCACAAUGGGGGCAACCCUGAUGCAGCGACGCCGCGUGAGCGAUGAAGCCCUUCGGGGUGUAAAGCUCUUUCGGCAGGGAAGAUUAUGACGGUACCUGCAGAAGCAGCUGCGGCUAACUACGUGCCAGCAGCCGCGGUAAUACGUAGGCAGCGAGCGUUGUUCGGAGUUACUGGGCGUAAAGGGUGUGUAGGCGGUUCUUUAAGUUUGGUGUGAAAUCUCCCGGCUUAACCGGGAGGGUGCGCCGAAUACUGAGGGACUAGAGUGCGGGAGAGGAAAGUGGAAUUCCUGGUGUAGCGGUGAAAUGCGUAGAUAUCAGGAGGAACACCGGUGGUGUAGACGGCUUUCUGGACCGUAACUGACGCUGAAACACGAAAGCGUGGGUAGCAAACAGGAUUAGAUACCCUGGUAGUCCACGCCCUAAACGAUGCAUAUUUGGUGUGGGUCAUUCAGUUGAUCCGUGCCGGAGCUAACGCGUUAAAUAUGCCGCCUGGGGAGUACAGUCGCAAGGCUGAAACUCAAAGGAAUUGACGGAUAGG
This 880-nucleotide ribosomal RNA is filed under the name uncultured bacterium. RNAcentral describes it as "bacterial SSU rRNA". It matches the Rfam family "Bacterial small subunit ribosomal RNA", at positions 8 to 921 of the family's 1533-position model. The record is from RNAcentral.